This 203-nucleotide unclassified non-coding RNA is filed under the name Hevea brasiliensis (rubber tree). Lineage: Eukaryota; Viridiplantae; Streptophyta; Magnoliopsida; Malpighiales; Euphorbiaceae. The record is from RNAcentral.
UCUCUCUCUCUCUCUCUCUGCACUCUUACUUCCCAGCAUUUUUGUUUGCUUUUUAAAAUAUUUUAGCUCUGCGCUAAUCUGGUGAUUUAGGGUUUUUUUAUUGUGCAUAAAUUUUGUGAUCCAUUUCUCGCAGGCGAAGAGGGAUUGGGAGAGAUAACGAAGAGUGAACUAAUAAAAUCGAUCGAACAUGGGAGGAGGAGCAG